RNAcentral lists this ribosomal RNA (493 nucleotides) under Coloburiscus humeralis. Its description in RNAcentral is "partial 16S ribosomal RNA". It matches the Rfam family "Bacterial large subunit ribosomal RNA", at positions 1853 to 2605 of the family's 2925-position model. The record is from RNAcentral. Lineage: Eukaryota; Metazoa; Arthropoda; Insecta; Ephemeroptera; Coloburiscidae.
UCUAGCCUGCCCACUGAAAAUUGAAGGGCCGCGGUAUUUUGACCGUGCAAAGGUAGCAUAAUCAUUAGUCUUCUAAUUAAAGGCUGGAAUGAAUGGUUGGACGAGGUACGAGCUGUCUCACUAGAAUUAUUUUGGAACUUAACUUCUCAGUCAAAAGGCUGAGAUAGUGUUGGAGGACGAGAAGACCCUAUAGAUCUUUAUACCGGAGAUAUUUAACUUACGCAGAGCGAAUUGUAGUUUAAUAGUAAAGGUAUUUCGUUGGGGUGACGGGGAGAUAAAUAAACUCUCUUAGAAGAGGUCCAUUAAUUUAUGAAUUGUUGAUCCAUUAAUAGUGAUUAUAAGACUAAGUUACCUUAGGGAUAACAGCGUAAUCCUUUUCGAGAGUUCCUAUCGACAAAGGGGGUUGCGACCUCGAUGUUGGAUUAAGGGUAAUUUUGGGUGUAGAAGUUCAAAGUUUUGGGUCUGUUCGGACCCAUGAAUCCCUUACAUGAUC